Molecule: non-coding RNA, 236 nt
Filed under: Callithrix jacchus (white-tufted-ear marmoset)
Lineage: Eukaryota; Metazoa; Chordata; Mammalia; Primates; Cebidae
Description: Eukaryotic large subunit ribosomal RNA
Rfam family: Eukaryotic large subunit ribosomal RNA
Source: Rfam by way of RNAcentral
AUAAUAAUUUGGUACCAUUCAGAGACAGCGUCAGAUGGGGUGUUUUACUGGGUUGAUUCACCUGUCAGAUGGUAAAAUAGGUGUUCUGAAGUGAGCUCAAGGAGGAGAGAAAUCUCCCAUGUAGCAGAACAAAAACUCACUUGAUCUUGAUUAUCUAUAUGUAUAAAGAUUGUGAAAAUAGGACCAUGAAAUUUUUCUGACCUUUGGAGUUAUCCCUGUGAAGCACAAUUCACCAG